This 69-nucleotide transfer RNA is filed under the name Marmota monax (woodchuck). It matches the Rfam family "tRNA". Rfam says of the family: Transfer RNA (tRNA) molecules are approximately 80 nucleotides in length. Their secondary structure includes four short double-helical elements and three loops (D, anti-codon, and T loops). Further hydrogen bonds mediate the characteristic L-shaped molecular structure. tRNAs have two regions of fundamental functional importance: the anti-codon, which is responsible for specific mRNA codon recognition, and the 3' end, to which the tRNAs corresponding amino acid is attached (by aminoacyl-tRNA synthetases). tRNAs cope with the degeneracy of the genetic code in two manners: having more than one tRNA (with a specific anti-codon) for a particular amino acid; and 'wobble' base-pairing, i.e. permitting non-standard base-pairing at the 3rd anti-codon position. Lineage: Eukaryota; Metazoa; Chordata; Mammalia; Rodentia; Sciuridae. RNAcentral also lists the same sequence under 2 other names. The record is from Rfam by way of RNAcentral.
GGGGCUGUAGCUCAGUGGCAAAGUGCUUGCCUAGCAUGCAUGAGGCACUGGGUUCAAUCCUCAGCACCA